This is a long non-coding RNA of Myotis myotis, 918 nucleotides long. RefSeq lists it as uncharacterized. NCBI's taxonomy places the organism in Eukaryota, Metazoa, Chordata, Mammalia, Chiroptera, Vespertilionidae. The record is from RefSeq and is a predicted model, not a curated record. The transcript is spliced from 2 exons.
GUGAGUGGAAGGGGUGGUUGUUCUGGUGCCCACAAAGCUACUUACUGCUGGUGUACUCUGCUUUCCCUGGGAGGCGGAUAACCCUCCGGGCACCCGGCUAGUGCAGAGGAGGAAGAGCGCAGACUCUUCCUUUGGUUUCAGAAAACACCUCCAGAUUCUCCUUUCAGUGCCUCUGCUGGCUACAGCCAGCCCAGAGCUGGCAAGGGCUGAAAGGUAGGGUCCACCUAGUGCCCAUCCCAUGUGGGCUAGGCUCACUUUCAGGUAAUUUUUUAAAAAAUGUAUUUUUAUUGAUUUCAGAGAAGGGAAGGAUAGAAUCAGUGAUGACAGAAUCAUUGACUGGCUGCCUCCUGCACGCCCCCCACUGGGAAACGAGCCCACAAGCGCGGCAUGUGCCCUGACUGGGAAUCGAACCAUGACCACCUGGUUCAUAGGUCCACGCUCAAGCACUGAGCCCGCCAGCCGGGCGCUUUCAGGUUCCCCGACGCUGCUAUGGGAGAUACCCGCCCCCACGUGCGUGUACACACACACACAGCGCGACAAUGACCAGAGUCCAUUUACAUCUGCCACUUCAUUUAUUUAUUUUUAUUUGUAGGAGGAGUUGAAACAAAUCUUUAAGGGGGGUUUCCCCUUAAACAUGAAUCAAGUAAAACCAACUUAACUAUAGAAAUGUAGCAAAGUAAGGGUAAAAGUAGCACAACAACCCAAGAGGCUAAGGUUGGGGGGGAGGGGGGGUGGAGAGGUGGGUGCAGUCCGCAUAUACCAUAUGCAUAAGUGCCAUAUGAUUCACCUGCUCAGGACCGCCUCCCCAGAAGGCAAGCACAAGGACCCAUUUUAAGAGGAUGUUUUCCCCCCCAAACAUCUGAGAAUGUUUCAACUUAAAGCUUAAGGUUAAAAAGGAAAAAAAGAAAAAGAGAACCC